RNAcentral lists this small nucleolar RNA (100 nucleotides) under Ancylostoma ceylanicum. Its description in RNAcentral is "Small nucleolar RNA sn2524". It matches the Rfam family "Small nucleolar RNA sn2524". Lineage: Eukaryota; Metazoa; Nematoda; Chromadorea; Rhabditida; Ancylostomatidae. The record is from Rfam by way of RNAcentral.
UAUCAAAACUCACGUGAAACUAGAGUUGUUGCUGUUUUCCUCCUUCUUCAUUUGAACUAGGAACGCGUCUACAUAGUCUUCUCCUUCCCCCUCGAUAACA